GCGGGAUUAGCUCAGUUGGCUAGAGCGUCUCGUUGCCAACGAGAAGGUCGCCAGUUCGAAUCUGGUAUCCCGCUCCA
RNAcentral lists this transfer RNA (77 nucleotides) under Pseudomonadota bacterium. Its description in RNAcentral is "Proteobacteria bacterium tRNA-Gly". It matches the Rfam family "tRNA". From Rfam's summary of the family: Transfer RNA (tRNA) molecules are approximately 80 nucleotides in length. RNAcentral also lists the same sequence under 2 other names. Lineage: Bacteria; Pseudomonadati; Pseudomonadota. The record is from RNAcentral.